Molecule: ribosomal RNA, 587 nt
Filed under: Saccharomyces cerevisiae (brewer's yeast)
Lineage: Eukaryota; Fungi; Ascomycota; Saccharomycetes; Saccharomycetales; Saccharomycetaceae
Description: partial large subunit ribosomal RNA
Rfam family: Eukaryotic large subunit ribosomal RNA
Source: RNAcentral
ACCGGGGAUGCCUUAGUACGGCGAGUGAAGCGGCAAAAGCUCAAAUUUGAAAUCUGGUACCUUCGGUGCCCGAGUUGUAAUUUGGAGAGGGCAACUUUGGGGCCGUUCCUUGUCUAUGUUCCUUGGAACAGGACGUCAUAGAGGGUGAGAAUCCCGUGUGGCGAGGAGUGCGGUUCUUUGUAAAGUGCCUUCGAAGAGUCGAGUUGUUUGGGAAUGCAGCUCUAAGUGGGUGGUAAAUUCCAUCUAAAGCUAAAUAUUGGCGAGAGACCGAUAGCGAACAAGUACAGUGAUGGAAAGAUGAAAAGAACUUUGAAAAGAGAGUGAAAAAGUACGUGAAAUUGUUGAAAGGGAAGGGCAUUUGAUCAGACAUGGUGUUUUGUGCCCUCUGCUCCUUGUGGGUAGGGGAAUCUCGCAUUUCACUGGGCCAGCAUCAGUUUUGGUGGCAGGAUAAAUCCAUAGGAAUGUAGCUUGCCUCGGUAAGUAUUAUAGCCUGUGGGAAUACUGCCAGCUGGGACUGAGGACUGCGACGUAUGUCAAGGAUGCUGGCAUAAUGGUUAUAUAGCCGCCCGUCUUGAACCACGGACCAA